AACGAACGCUGGCGGCAUGCCUAACACAUGCAAGUCGAACGAGACCUUCGGGUCUAGUGGCGCACGGGUGCGUAACGCGUGGGAAUCUGCCCUUGGGUUCGGAAUAACUCAGAGAAAUUUGAGCUAAUACCGGAUGAUGACGAAAGUCCAAAGAUUUAUCGCCCAGGGAUGAGCCCGCGUAAGAUUAGCUUGUUGGUGGGGUAAUGGCCUACCAAGGCGACGAUCUUUAGCUGGUCUGAGAGGAUGAUCAGCCACACUGGGACUGAGACACGGCCCAGACUCCUACGGGAGGCAGCAGUGGGGAAUAUUGGACAAUGGGCGCAAGCCUGAUCCAGCAAUGCCGCGUGAGUGAUGAAGGCCUUAGGGUUGUAAAGCUCUUUUACCAGGGAUGAUAAUGACAGUACCUGGACGAAUAAGCUCCGGCUAACUCCGUG
This 434-nucleotide ribosomal RNA is filed under the name uncultured bacterium. RNAcentral's name for it is "bacterial SSU rRNA". It matches the Rfam family "Bacterial small subunit ribosomal RNA", at positions 29 to 507 of the family's 1533-position model. The record is from RNAcentral.